UACAGAGGUCCCGAGCGUUGUUCGGAUUCAUUGGGCGUAAAGGGUGCGUAGGCGGCGGGGAAAGUCUGAUGUGAAAUCCUGGGGCUCAACCCUGGAACUGCAUUGGAUACUUCCUUGCUAGAGUACUGGAGAGGAAACUGGAAUUUACGGUGUAGCAGUGAAAUGCGUAGAGAUCGUAAGGAAGACCAGUGGCGAAGGCGGGUCUCUGGACAGUUCCUGACGCUGAGGCACGAAGGCCAGGGGAGCAAACGGG
RNAcentral lists this ribosomal RNA (253 nucleotides) under uncultured bacterium. Its description in RNAcentral is "partial 16S ribosomal RNA". It matches the Rfam family "Bacterial small subunit ribosomal RNA", at positions 524 to 776 of the family's 1533-position model. The record is from RNAcentral.